Non-coding RNA from Gasterosteus aculeatus aculeatus (three-spined stickleback), 1113 nucleotides. The record is from RefSeq and is a predicted model, not a curated record. NCBI's taxonomy places the organism in Eukaryota, Metazoa, Chordata, Actinopteri, Perciformes, Gasterosteidae.
GUCGCCCUAUGACGGAGUGGUGUCCCGGCGGCGCGUGGGCCAUUUUCAUCGCGCUGAACUGAAGGAACGACUUUCCCAGCGUCACCCUGCAGAACAGCAUCUGCCUGCAAAGGGGAACUUGUGUGUGUGUUGCAGAGCGCCACCUUGAUGAUGUUGUACCGGCUGAAGACUCCCCCCGCGUUGCCUCCGUCGCGGUGCUCUCUGAUGGUGCUCUGGAGCUGAGGACAAAAUGACCAGACAUCAAAAAACGUGUGUGAGUGGGAUAACACAUGCUAAUGGAAUUCAGAUUUCAUAACGGCAGGUGUUAUUCGUUGGGCCGCCUAGAUACCUUUUAUCAUUUUUCCCCUCAGCCACCGGGGAGUGUUUUCGUGAUCGUUUGUAUUCUCUAUUUACCGGCGUGUGUAGUACAGACGUGACUAACAGUCACACAUCACGGCUCUGUCAUUUUGCAGGAUGCAGUUGGUGGAAAUCAACAGCACCACACAGAUGUGCGUCCAUUAUGCAGCAGCAGCAGCCGGCGAUAAAAGCGAGGUGGACGGACUGAACAUAUAAACCUUCGUCUUUAGAUCCAGUUUACUCGAUCGGUUUUAGUUGGGAUCAACUGUAGAUUGAAGGUUACAGGGCCAUGUGAUCCGUGAUGGAGCCGCAACUCAUUCAAUCACAGCAGAUGUCUAAAUUUCCCGUGGGAAAUCCGGUGCGGCUGCAAAAGUGUGGCAUCAGCAGCAAAACGGAGUCCAGAAGCUGGAUUUACGCGACUAGACGAGCGUUUUCUGUGUCGCGCUUUUAGCGAUGGCCCCCCCACGCGCAAAAUGAGUUCUCCCCCCGACGACAGAAACUAUUGAUGACCUAUGAAAUACUGCCGAGGACAGGCGGACGACCUCGACCCAGUAGUGGCAACUGUCUAGGGGGAACGCAUGGUCAUUUAAAAAAAAUGACGCGUUAAAUGACCUGUUAGGAAGUGACGGUCAUCAUUCAUUCAGACUGAUAUCGGCUGUCUGUUCAGAGAGAAAUGGAGCAACGGCCACGAUCACAGUGUGAGCUGUCUCCUCUGCCAGAUGUCUAGAAUCACUCAUCAUGAGCAUUAAAAAAAACGUCGAGCCCUCCUCAGGAAAU